RNAcentral lists this ribosomal RNA (251 nucleotides) under uncultured prokaryote. RNAcentral describes it as "partial 16S rRNA". It matches the Rfam family "Bacterial small subunit ribosomal RNA", at positions 525 to 775 of the family's 1533-position model. The record is from RNAcentral.
ACAGAGGUGGCGAGCGUUACUCGGAUUUAUUGUGUGUAAAGGGCAAGUAGGCGUCUUGACAAGUUAGGAGUGAAAUCCUGCAGCUAAACUGCAGAACUGCUUCUAAAACUGUUAAGAUUGAGUUUGGGAGAGGAAAGCGGAAUUCUCGGUAUAAGAAUGAAAGCUGUAGAUAUCUGAAGGAAUACCAGUGGCGAAGGCAGCUUUCUGGCCCAGUACUGACGCUGAAUUGCGUAACUUAGGGGAGCAAACAG